GACGAACGCUGGCGGCGUGCCUAGUACAUGCAAGUUGAGCGCUGAAGGAUGGUACUUGUGCCAACUGGAUGAGCAGCGAACGGGUGAGUAACGCGUGGGGAAUCUGCCUUUGAGCAGGGGACAACAUUUGGAAACGAAUGCUAAUACCGCAUAAAACCUUUAAACACAAGUUUUAAGUUUGAAAGAUGCAAUUGCAUCACUCAAAGAUGAUCCCGCGUUGUAUUAGCUAGUUGGUGAGGUAAAGGCUCACCAAGGCGAUGAUACAUAGCCGACCUGAGGGGGGGAUCGGCCCAAUUGGGACUUAGACCAGGCCCAAGAUUCUUCGGGAGGCAGCAGUAGGGAAUUUUUGGAAAUGGACGAAAGUCUGAACGAGCAACUCCGCGGGAGUGAAGAAGGUUUUCGGAUCGUAAAACUCUGUUGGUAGAGAAGAACGUGGGUGAGAGUGGAACGCUCACCAAGUGACGGUAACUACACAGAAAGGGACGGCUAACUACGUG
RNAcentral lists this ribosomal RNA (497 nucleotides) under uncultured bacterium. Its description in RNAcentral is "partial 16S ribosomal RNA". It matches the Rfam family "Bacterial small subunit ribosomal RNA", at positions 28 to 507 of the family's 1533-position model. The record is from RNAcentral.